CCUGAAACCGUGUACGUACAAGCAGUGGGAGCACGCUUAGGCGUGUGACUGCGUACCUUUUGUAUAAUGGGUCAGCGACUUAUAUUCUGUAGCAAGGUUAACCGAAUAGGGGAGCCGAAGGGAAACCGAGUCUUAACUGGGCGUUAAGUUGCAGGGUAUAGACCCGAAACCCGGUGAUCUAGCCAUGGGCAGGUUGAAGGUUGGGUAACACUAACUGGAGGACCGAACCGACUAAUGUUGAAAAAUUAGCGGAUGACUUGUGGCUGGGGGUGAAAGGCCAAUCAAACCGGGAGAUAGCUGGUUCUCCCCGAAAGCUAUUUAGGUAGCGCCUCGUGAAUUCAUCUCCGGGGGUAGAGCACUGUUUCGGCAAGGGGGUCAUCCCGACUUACCAACCCGAUGCAAACUGCGAAUACCGGAGAAUGUUAUCACGGGAGACACACGGCGGGUGCUAACGUCCGUCGUGAAGAGGGAAACAACCCAGACCGCCAGCUAAGGUCCCAAAGUCAUGGUUAAGUGGGAAACGAUGUGGGAAGGCCCAGACAGCCAGGAUGUUGGCUUAGAAGCAGCCAUCAUUUAAAGAAAGCGUAAUAGCUCACUGGUCGAGUCGGCCUGCGCGGAAGAUGUAACGGGGCUAAACCAUGCACCGAAGCUGCGGCAGCGACGCUGAUGCGUUGUUGGGUAGGGGAGCGUUCUGUAAGCCUGUGAAGGUGUGCUGUGAGGCAUGCUGGAGGUAUCAGAAGUGCGAAUGCUGACAUAAGUAACGAUAAAGCGGGUGAAAAGCCCGCUCGCCGGAAGACCAAGGGUUCCUGUCCAACGUUAAUCGGGGCAGGGUGAGUCGACCCCUAAGGCGAGGCCGAAAGGCGUAGUCGAUGGGAAACAGGUUAAUAUUCCUGUACUUGGUGUUACUGCGAAGGGGGGACGGAGAAGGCUAUGUUGGCCGGGCGACGGUUGUCCCGGUUUAAGCGUGUAGGCUGGUUUUCCAGGCAAAUCCGGAAAACUAAGGCUGAGGCGUGAUGACGAGGCACUACGGUGCUGAAGCAACAAAUGCCCUGCUUCCAGGAAAAGCCUCUAAGCAUCAGGUAACAUCAAAUCGUACCCCAAACCGACACAGGUGGUCAGGUAGAGAAUACCAAGGCGCUUGAGAGAACUCGGGUGAAGGAACUAGGCAAAAUGGUGCCGUAACUUCGGGAGAAGGCACGCUGAUAUGUAGGUGAAGUCCCUCGCGGAUGGAGCUGAAAUCAGUCGAAGAUACCAGCUGGCUGCAACUGUUUAUUAAAAACACAGCACUGUGCAAACACGAAAGUGGACGUAUACGGUGUGACGCCUGCCCGGUGCCGGAAGGUUAAUUGAUGGGGUCAGCGCAAGCGAAGCUCUUGAUCGAAGCCCCGGUAAACGGCGGCCGUAACUAUAACGGUCCUAAGGUAGCGAAAUUCCUUGUCGGGUAAGUUCCGACCUGCACGAAUGGCGUAAUGAUGGCCAGGCUGUCUCCACCCGAGACUCAGUGAAAUUGAACUCGCUGUGAAGAUGCAGUGUACCCGCGGCAAGACGGAAAGACCCCGUGAACCUUUACUAUAGCUUGACACUGAACAUUGAGCCUUGAUGUGUAGGAUAGGUGGGAGGCUUUGAAGUGUGGACGCCAGUCUGCAUGGAGCCGACCUUGAAAUACCACCCUUUAAUGUUUGAUGUUCUAACGUUGACCCGUAAUCCGGGUUGCGGACAGUGUCUGGUGGGUAGUUUGACUGGGGCGGUCUCCUCCUAAAGAGUAACGGAGGAGCACGAAGGUUGGCUAAUCCUGGUCGGACAUCAGGAGGUUAGUGCAAUGGCAUAAGCCAGCUUGACUGCGAGCGUGACGGCGCGAGCAGGUGCGAAAGCAGGUCAUAGUGAUCCGGUGGUUCUGAAUGGAAGGGCCAUCGCUCAACGGAUAAAAGGUACUCCGGGGAUAACAGGCUGAUACCGCCCAAGAGUUCAUAUCGACGGCGGUGUUUGGCACCUCGAUGUCGGCUCAUCACAUCCUGGGGCUGAAGUAGGUCCCAAGGGUAUGGCUGUUCGCCAUUUAAAGUGGUACGCGAGCUGGGUUUAGAACGUCGUGAGACAGUUCGGUCCCUAUCUGCCGUGGGCGCUGGAGAACUGAGGGGGGCUGCUCCUAGUACGAGAGGACCGGAGUGGACGCAUCACUGGUGUUCGGGUUGUCAUGCCAAUGGCACUGCCCGGUAGCUAAAUGCGGAAGAGAUAAGUGCUGAAAGCAUCUAAGCACGAAACUUGCCCCGAGAUGAGUUCUCCCUGACUCCUUGAGAGUCCUGAAGGAACGUUGAAG
This 2314-nucleotide ribosomal RNA is filed under the name Escherichia coli. Its description in RNAcentral is "partial 23S ribosomal RNA". It matches the Rfam family "Bacterial large subunit ribosomal RNA", at positions 549 to 2843 of the family's 2925-position model. The record is from RNAcentral. Lineage: Bacteria; Pseudomonadati; Pseudomonadota; Gammaproteobacteria; Enterobacterales; Enterobacteriaceae.